ACCAGUCCUAGCCAAUGUUGCUGAAGUUGCCAAACACCACCAAUCUGUUAGCAGAAUACCUACUGCCAUUAUGUCAGGCACUGAACAUGAAACAAGGCAGACCAGCAUGGAGAGUUAUUCUAAAGCCUUUGUUAGACAAAUUCUAAUGUCUAUCCAGAGUGAAAGCAGCAGAGGGCCUAUUGACUUACUCCAUUGUGAGCUCCAUGUUGAAGGAUUUUGAUGCCAGGGACAGUAAUGUUGGCUUGGGGACACACCGGGCUUCUUCUUCAAAGUCGUCCCACUCCAUCACCUCUGCCAAAUCCAGAGCUUCCCAGAGUGAUGAUUUUCGAAAAUCUUUACCAGGCGCUCCGAUCCCAAAUGAGUGGCCUUUUAGUAGUGAUUUCCCUAUCAUUAGGAGUUCUGUCAUUGAUGUGGGUAAGUCCUCAAUGCUUCCAAAGGCCGGUAAAAAGGAAAAGAAGAUAUCAGCUUUCUUCUCUCGGUUUCGACUACCCUCAAAGAAUUUAAAGAAUGUCAACCUGAAUGACUACUGGGCUUCAAGAACUUCCCCGAACCAGACCCCUGCUGUCAGUAAAAUAGUUGUCAACAAUCACCAUACUGGCCAAACAGAAACUCCACAAUGAAGAGGCCAUGGAAGCAGUCAUCCUUUUCAGGGGCAUUUUCAGAUAUAAGAAAUGCCCUAUCCAGUCUCUUUACAUCCUGUUUUAAAGGGGG
Long non-coding RNA from Esox lucius (northern pike), 711 nucleotides. NCBI's taxonomy places the organism in Eukaryota, Metazoa, Chordata, Actinopteri, Esociformes, Esocidae. The record is from Ensembl.